UCGGGUUGAUCCUGCCUGAGGAUGAACGCUGGUGUAGGGUAUAAACACAUGCGAGUCUAUUUCACCCGGCCCGGGUGAAAUUGGCGCACGAGUGAGUAAUGUAUGGGUUACCUAGCUCAGCUCCCAAAUUACCGCCGCUUGGAUAGGAGAAGGCCCCCUUGGGGGGCGGACAACCUUCGCCGGUCGGGGGCGGGAGAAGGGCUCAUAUAGCAUUAGGUUGUCGGUAGGGUAAUGGCUUACCGAGCCCAGGAUGCUUAGCCGUGUUGGGAGAUGGUACGGCCACGGUGGAACUGAGACACGGUCCACAGAGUAAUUUCAGCAGUGGGUAAACUUCGACAAUGAGCGCAAGCUUGAUCGAGCCACUACACGUGAGUGAAGAAGGAUUUCUGUAAAACUCAUAUCAAUAGUCCCGGCAAACUUCGUGCCAGCAGCCGCGGUAAUACGGUGGGGGCGAGCGUUAUCCGACAUAACUGGGCUGGGCGCGUAGGCUUUAAGCCAACGGUCGGCCAAUUAGGCUAGUCCCGUUGGUUUGAUUGAGGAGGGCAAACACUACGGCCGUUGAAUGGGGUGUGGAGAGGUCAAAUUCACUGAUAUACUCCGGACGAACAAACGCGAAGGCGGCGGCCACAGCCCAUACCUGACGCUGAGGCGCGGAAGCGUGGGGAGCCAAUGGGAUUAGAUACCCCAGUAGUCCACGCCGUCAAAAACCCCAACCCGCAUUCAUGGCGCUGAGGCCGGCAACCCCCGCUUAAGCGGCGAAGGUUCCGCCCUACGGGCUUCCCCUCCCCUUGGCGGGCCCCUCCGGGUGGGUCCCCCCUUGCCCUCCGGGGCGGGUUGGGGGCCCUCCGGGUUGCCCCCCCUUGUGGGGCGGGCUACGCUUAUUGCUUCGCUUACCCUCCGGGUUGCUUCGUAUUGCUUCGCUUAUGCUUCGCUUAUUAUCCGGGGUUGAACGCUCGCUCCUUCGGGAGUGCGGGUUUUCUAACCCGCCGGGGGCCUACGGGCGGAACCUGACCUUGGGAAGCGCCGUGUCGUCGUUCCUUUAAGUUGUGCGGCAGGGGCGCCUGGGAACUACGGUCGCAAGACUCAAACCUAAAGGAAUUGGCGGUAGCUCAAACAAGCGGCGGAACAUGCUGUUUAAUUCGACACUACGCGAGACACCUCACCAGUGCUUGCUAACACCACACCAUUGGUGACCUCAGGUGCUGCAUGGCUGUCGUCAGUUCGUGGCACAAGCUGUCUGGUUAAUUCCACCAACGAACGAAACCCCAAAAACACCUGCGAAAAGCCCUUGGGAUCACUUCAAGUCAUCAUGGCCCCAAUGCACUGGGCGACAGGUGUGUUACGUUAGCGAGACUAGUCUUCACCCAUAAAAAACUCGCUGGUUCGGAUAGUGGUCUGCAACUCGACCUCUUGAAGAAGGAGUCGCUAGUAAUCGGGGAACAUGUCGCCCCGGUGAAUCGGUCACUGAGCUGUGCACACACCGCCCAUCACGUUCGAAAAGAUACAGUUGGUUAAGACCCCCACCAUGCGCCUCUGGCGUUUUGGGGUUCAACCCAAUUGUUUCAAUUUGAAUGAAGUUGUAACACGGUAGCUGUAGGGGAACCUGCAGCUGGACUGUUU
RNAcentral lists this ribosomal RNA (1620 nucleotides) under Caulerpa ashmeadii. RNAcentral describes it as "small subunit ribosomal RNA". It matches the Rfam family "Bacterial small subunit ribosomal RNA". Lineage: Eukaryota; Viridiplantae; Chlorophyta; Ulvophyceae; Bryopsidales; Caulerpaceae. The record is from RNAcentral.